GAUGAAGAACGCAGCGAAAUGCGAUAAGUAAUGUGAAUUGCAGAGUUCAGUGAAUCAUCGAAUCUUUGAACGCACAUUGCGCCCCUUGGUAUUCCGAGGGGCAUGCCUGUUCGAGCGUCAUUAUAACCCCUCAAGCUCAGCUUGGUGUUGGGGCCUGCCGCACGGGCAGCCCUUAAAAUCAGUGGCGGUGCCAUCUGGCUCUAAGCGUAGUAAUUCUUCUCGCUAUAGAGUCCCGGUGGAUGCUUGCCAUUAACCCCCAAUUUUCUAUGGUUGACCUCGGAUCAGGUAGGGAUACCCGCUGAACUUAAGCAUAUCAAUAAGCGGAGGA
This 328-nucleotide unclassified non-coding RNA is filed under the name soil metagenome. RNAcentral's name for it is "partial contains 5.8S ribosomal RNA, internal transcribed spacer 2, and large subunit ribosomal RNA". The stretch from base 1 to 120 matches the Rfam family "5.8S ribosomal RNA", at positions 35 to 154 of the family's 154-position model. The record is from RNAcentral.